RNAcentral lists this ribosomal RNA (512 nucleotides) under Parnassius apollo venaissinus. RNAcentral describes it as "partial 16S ribosomal RNA". The stretch from base 385 to 512 matches the Rfam family "Bacterial large subunit ribosomal RNA", at positions 2473 to 2600 of the family's 2925-position model. Lineage: Eukaryota; Metazoa; Arthropoda; Insecta; Lepidoptera; Papilionidae. The record is from RNAcentral.
UUUUUGAUUAAUAAUUUAAAGUCUAAUCUGCCCACUGAUAAUAAAUUAAAGGGCUGCAGUAUUUUGACUGUACAAAGGUAGCAUAAUCAUUAGUCUCUUAAUUGGUGACUUGUAUGAAGGAUUUGAUGAAAUAUAUACUGUCUCUUUUUAAUUUAUAAAAUUUAAUUUUUUAGUUAAAAAGCUAAAAUGUAUUUAAAAGACGAGAAGACCCUAUAGAGUUUUAUAUUUUUAUAAAUUAAAAUUUUUUAUAAGAUUUAAAAUUUUAAUUUAUAUGAAUAUUUUGUUGGGGUGAUAGAAAAAUUAAAAUAACUUUUUUUAUAAUUUUACAUUAAUAAAUGAAUAAAUGAUCCGUAAUUUACGAUUAUAAGAUAAAAUUACCUUAGGGAUAACAGCGUAAUUUUUUUUUUUAGUUCAAAUAAGAAAAAAAGUUUGCGACCUCGAUGUUGGAUUAAGAUAAAAUUUAAAUGCAAAAGUUUAAAAUUUUUGAUCUGUUCGAUCAUUAAAAUCUUACA